UUUCAAGAGGGGCCCUGAAGCAGGGGGGCUGUUUUGGGACAAAGUAGCUCAAGCUGUGCAUUCCCUCCAAAUGAUUAAGCUUAAGAACACACAGAUGAGUCAUUUGAACAGCGUUUAAAACUCAGCCAUGGCCAAAUUUAAUGCAUCACUUGGACUGAGUAAUCGGGACAUCUCACAAAUCUCAGAAGCAAGUGAGAGCAGAAUCUGGAGCCUGCUCUUUGUAUUUCAGCAGCUCGCACUCCAAAUCUAUUUGCAAACAGAUACUGAGAAGCCCGAAAGAGAAUACUUUACAUCUUAAAUCAACUGGAAGGCAUCUAAAGCCAAGGGAUUGAAACGUCUGCUUUCAUUCCUAGAAAGAGCAGCAACUGGAAAGUGGAACUGGACAUAAACAAGAGCUUGGAUCCAAACAGCCUCCAAACUUGGAUCUGCCUGAACUCUGCAGCAUACCUCACUGUAUGCCUGGCCUAAAUGAGACAAAGAGGACUACUUGAGUGCAUCCACCUCUGAACCUCAACACCUGAAUAGAUCUUGCUUGGAACCAGCAAUGGGGCAUUUCAUGCUGAUCAGCAUUGACCAAUGUGAUCCAACAGAUGCAUAUUUAAGUCCCCAUCCCAACUCCAAGCAACAAGAAAUGAGAGCUGGAAGGGACAACUUGGGUCACCCAGGCCCGUUCCACGAUCUCACAGCCAGCAACAUCACGCAACCCCUUUCCUUGAAAGGGUCAAGGAGCCAUGCAAAACUUUUUCCCUAGGUUUCCAAAUUGUGGAUCCGUCUCUCAUUUUAAACACUCGGGUAACAAAAAUUCACUUUGCCAGCAGGACUUUACAAUUAAAUCUCUUUCUUCUACUUGCUGUUGUUUUCCUCUCCAGGCCACAUGAUCUAUGCUGCUUCUUUCAUCCAUUCAAUUAAAAAAUUCUGGCUUGAACAGUCAACUUCGAUUGUCUGUUUGACCUUUCUAUUUGCCUUGUACAUACUUAACACAAAAGAAUGGGAAAGUAACAUCCUGUUUAGAAUCUUGGAUCUCCACACCCUCAGCAAUGAAUCAGUGAACUUGGCAUGAGUGCCUAGCACGUUAACAAGCCUGACGGACUUUCAGAACAUGUCAUCAUCAAUCCAAAAAGACAAUACAGAACGUAAGUAAGCUUGCACUGAAUCAUGUCCUCCUCAAUGUUCAAAUUCUAAUUACAGUUAGAAAGCUAAGGUUAUCCUGCUCCCCACAGGGGAAACAUAAAGGAAAGAAAAGGCCACGUUUUACUUCUUAUGAGAACAAGAACAGCACCAAAUGAAGAAUAGUGUUGUAGAGAAGAUUUGCAGAUUGCUCUGGUGC
This 1327-nucleotide long non-coding RNA is filed under the name Crocodylus porosus (Australian saltwater crocodile). RNAcentral describes it as "lncRNA (ENSCPRG00005017587.1)". The record is from RNAcentral. Lineage: Eukaryota; Metazoa; Chordata; Crocodylia; Crocodylidae.